GCCGCGGUAAUUCCAGCUCCAAUAGCGUAUAUUAACGUUGUUGCAGUUAAAAAGCUCGUAGUUGAAGUGAGGGAGUGUGUGGGUAUGAGAGCUAGUCUCGAGUGUUCACAACCUCCCCCCUCCAAUCGGUGUAGUGGGGUAUUCACUUAUUCCACUACUCCUUUGGUCGUUUACUGUGAGAAAAUUAGAGUGUUCAAAGCGGGCGUUUGUUUGAAUAGAUUAGCAUGGAAUAAUGAUUGAAGGCUUUCGUGUUCGAUUUGAUUGGUUUGUUCAUGGAAGCAAGGUUAAAAGGAACAGUUGGGGGUAUUCAUAUUCACUAGUUAGAGGUGAAAUUCUCGGAUUUAUGGAAGAUGAACAGGUGCGAAAGCAUUUACCAAGGAUGUUGUCAUUAAUCAAGAACGAAAG
Molecule: ribosomal RNA, 405 nt
Filed under: Blastocystis sp.
Lineage: Eukaryota; Bigyra; Opalinata; Blastocystidae
Description: SSU rRNA
Rfam family: Eukaryotic small subunit ribosomal RNA
Source: RNAcentral